UAGGGAAUCUUCGGCAAUGGGGGGAACCUUGACCGAGCAACGCCGCGUGAGUGAAGAAGGCUUUCGGAUCGUAAAGUUCUGUUGUUAAGGAAGAACGAGCGUGAGAAUGGAAAGUUCAUGCUGUUACGGUACUUAACCAGAAAGGGACGGCUAACUACGUGCCAGCAGCCGCGGUAAUACGUAGGUCCCGAGCGUUGUCCGGAUUUAUUGGGCGUAAAGCGAGCGCAGGCGGUUAGAAAAGUCUGAAGUGAAAGGCAGUGGCUCAACCAUUGUAGGCUUUGGAAACUGUUUAACUUGAGUGCGGAAGGGGAGAGUGGAAUUCCAUGUGUAGCGGUGAAAUGCGUAGAUAUAUGGAGGAACACCGGUGGCGAAAGCGGCUCUCUGGUCUGUAACUGACGCUGAGGCUCGAAAGCGUGGGGAGCGAACAGG
Molecule: ribosomal RNA, 429 nt
Filed under: Verrucomicrobiota bacterium
Lineage: Bacteria; Pseudomonadati; Verrucomicrobiota
Description: Verrucomicrobia bacterium partial 16S ribosomal RNA
Rfam family: Bacterial small subunit ribosomal RNA
Source: RNAcentral